Molecule: ribosomal RNA, 468 nt
Filed under: uncultured bacterium
Lineage: Bacteria
Description: partial 16S ribosomal RNA
Rfam family: Bacterial small subunit ribosomal RNA
Source: RNAcentral
GACGAACGCUCGCGGCGUGCUUAACACAUGCAAGUCGAACGGAAAGGCCCUGCUUUUGUGGGGUGCUCGAGUGGCGAACGGGUGAGUAACACGUGAGUAACCUGCCCUUGACUUUGGGAUAACUUCAGGAAACUGGGGCUAAUACCGGAUAGGAGCUCCUGCUGCAUGGUGGGGGUUGGAAAGUUUCGGCGGUUGGGGAUGGACUCGCGGCUUAUCAGCUUGUUGGUGGGGUAGUGGCUUACCAAGGCUUUGACGGGUAGCCGGCCUGAGAGGGUGACCGGCAACAUUGGGACUGAGAUACGGCCCAGACUCCUACGGGAGGCAGCAGUGGGGAAUAUUGCACAAUGGGCGGAAGCCUGAUGCAGCAACGCCGCGUGCGGGAUGACGGCCUUCGGGUUGUAAACCGCUUUCGCCUGUGACGAAGCGUGAGUGACGGUAAUGGGUAAAGAAGCACCGGCUAACUACGUG